This is a long non-coding RNA of Papaver somniferum (opium poppy), 635 nucleotides long. RefSeq lists it as uncharacterized. Lineage: Eukaryota; Viridiplantae; Streptophyta; Magnoliopsida; Ranunculales; Papaveraceae. The transcript has 4 exons. The record is from RefSeq and is a predicted model, not a curated record.
GAAGUAUACACCCCUACCACCUCCAUCACCUCAUUCCCCUUCUUCUUCAUCAUCUUCUUGUUCUUCUUGUGUUAUUCUCCUUCUUCAUAUCAUAUGAUGUCUGUCUAAGGCGACACCAUCAAAGUUAAGGAUUGAUAACAAGUUCAAUUUUGUUUGCCCAUCGGCUUUUCCCGAAAUUCUUACCAGUACCAUCACUCGAUCAUCGUUCCAAAUUCAUUUCCGACAUUAGCAGAGUCAGUUGGCGAUUGGAAUUUGGAGACAAAGGUAACCAAGUUGGUUAACUGUGCAUAACCUUAACUUAAUAGCGGCGACUACCUUAUACCAUAAAAAUAGAAUCAGGUUAAAGGGUGUCCAUUACAUUGGCAAAGUGAGUUCUGAUGAGGUUGAUUCUUCAUUUCUUUAGGGGUACCAAAAGUUUGAGUUGAUCCAAUCUACCAACGGGUUAUACUCUAAUGCAGGUGCGGAAGCACAGCAGACUUCCCCUGGAUGAAGCCACCCCCAAAAUUACUGAGAAUCAAAUUUGAAGUAGUAAAAGUUGGCCCAGAACCCUCAAGCCCGGGUGAAAAUACCAUCGAAUUUGAAGUAGUAAAAGCAAUGCUUGAGGUGGUCUUCUGAAGAAGGUUCACUCAUUAUUG